CUUCCUUGAUAAGUUCAAAAUGAGUCUGGAGCAAGCAUGCUCCUCUAGCAAUGCCGUGCAAAUAAUUAAUGCAGUGCCACCUGGGAGAGGCCUUUGGACUCCAGAGAUGCCCACAUGAGAGGAUCGUAUGGAUGAGCUGGCCACCAGAUCAUGCCCCUACCUGACAUAGUAUAAAUAUAGGACAGUUUCAGAAGAUCCUCAAAUUCCAUAAAUUGAAGAGUUAUCUCAUCCCAUUCUCAGGAUGAAAUUGAAAGCCACUUGUUGAAGACAACAGUCUCUGCCAGCCUAUGACCAUCUACAACCAACUUCCAAAACAUGAAGACCAACAUUGAACUAUCACCUGAAAUUUGCUUUCCUGCUGGAGACUCCCGGUCACACCAUGGCCAUAGAGGAAGGGAGAAACAAAGGAAGCAAGCCCUGGUUGAGCAAGAAAGCCUUCUGACUGUAAAGCAAAAUGGAAAUAUUUUCAAACUGAAGGAAAAUUAAGUAAAACAGAAGAACAUUUCCUAAUGGUUUUAUCAUGCUGCUAGGACAUUCAGAGUUUUCUUUCUGAAGCCAACCUUCAAAGAUGUACCUUAUUAACUUUCAAAACUCAGAGAUAAUUGACAGUUUGUCACUUACCUAUAGCUACCUUUAGCUAAAAGCUAGUCUGUAUUCUCUCAUCCCUCAUGCAUGGCUGAAACCCCUUUAACAACAGCAGUAACUGACACCAUGUACAAGUGUGUGCACGUGUGCGCGCACACACACACACACACACACACAAUCCCACAUUGGGAGUGUGAAAAACAGAAAUGGGGAUGUAGCAAAAGUUUUAGAGAAACAAAUAUGCACUUUUCCUCCAGAAUCCAGAGAAUAUAGACCAAGCCAGUGUGUUUUCAGCUUAUGUGAAAACAAUUACUUUUGUAUUCUCCUCUGAAAAGUUACAAAUGAUUGGUUUGGAAGGACUCACUGUGUGUCUGUUGGAAACGUAAUCUAUUGCAUGUCAAAUACCCUAAAAUGAAGUGAAUGUGAAAGUCUAGUAUAAACCAAAUAAUGGGGCUGUGGAUAUGGCUCAAGCGGUAGUGCGCUCUCCUGGCAUGCGUGCGCCCUGGGUUCGACCCUCAGCACCACAUACAAACAAAGAUGUUGUGUCCGCCGAAAACUAAAGAAUAAAUACUAAAAUUCUCUCUCUCUCUCUUAAAAAAAAAGAUUUAAACCAAAUAAUGGCAGCAAAGAAAAAGGUAUAUGGGGAUAUCCUGAUUUUGUUUGUACUUUCAGAUAAUUUUUUACAAACCCCUCAUGCCCUAAAAGUAUUUCAAUAAGUCAAUAGCAAAAUUGUCUUCAAAUGAAGUUGUUAUUCUGUGUAUCACAACAUUACCAGGGAAGCCUUUUCUGAUGAUCUCCUCUCCCUCUUACCUUCCUGCCACGUGCGCAUGCACCUGUGCACGCAAUCACUCGCACACCCUCCCACCAAAUAAAUUAAUAAAAUAUGUUCCUGGAUUAUUUGGUGAAGUGUUGGAAGUACAGUAAUGUUGUAAGAAAGAACCAAGAUUAUUCACUACCUAAAAGAUGUCCUUGAGAUUCUCUUCUUUCAAACUCCUUGAAGUAAAGCAGAGUAAAACUAAGCUAAAGAGCUAAAGGCAAUCCUCUG
Non-coding RNA from Ictidomys tridecemlineatus (thirteen-lined ground squirrel), 1630 nucleotides. The record is from RefSeq and is a predicted model, not a curated record. Lineage: Eukaryota; Metazoa; Chordata; Mammalia; Rodentia; Sciuridae.